Asparagus officinalis (garden asparagus) is the source of this 526-nucleotide long non-coding RNA. RefSeq lists it as uncharacterized. The transcript has 4 exons. NCBI's taxonomy places the organism in Eukaryota, Viridiplantae, Streptophyta, Magnoliopsida, Asparagales, Asparagaceae. The record is from RefSeq and is a predicted model, not a curated record.
CACCAUCAAGCUCUAAUCCUCGAGCCCAAAAAGCCCAUCUCUCUCUUCCCCGCAAAAGACCUCUCCAGAGUUCUCAGUAGGGUAAAAAGGUUGAAGGAGAGCAGAGAUAAAACAUUGAUAAAGAUUUUAGUUGAAGAACAUGUGAAGGUGAGGGAUGAACUUGAACAUCUACUGGAUGAUGACAUGGAUAUGGCAAAGAUGUACCUUACGUAGAAGCUUAUGUCUAAUCGAGUUGGCGAGAUGUCUUCGAGAGGGGAUCUUGAUAAAUGAUGGUUCUGAAAUGGAUGAAAAGAGGAACUUGGAUUUAAUUAUCUUGGAAGUAGAGAGCAACUUAUCAUGAGAUUACAAGCAAACUAAAAUAUUUAAACAUUUGUUCUCUUCUUUCUUUUCUUUCACCUUUUCCUCUCUUUCCAUUGUGUUUCUUUUUUUCCUUCAUGUAUUACAAGCAAACUGGAAUAUUUAAACAAGCUUUUGAGUGUUGACUUGGAAAUGGAAAUGAAUAUAACUAUUUUACAAUGGGAGCAAA